This 520-nucleotide ribosomal RNA is filed under the name bacterium RiMSX131. RNAcentral's name for it is "bacterial SSU rRNA". It matches the Rfam family "Bacterial small subunit ribosomal RNA", at positions 33 to 569 of the family's 1533-position model. The record is from RNAcentral.
UCCCUCUCCGCGCCNCAACACAUGCAAGUCGAACGAUGAACCCGGAGCUUGCUCCGGCGGAUUAGUGGCGAACGGGUGAGUAACACGUGAGUAACCUGCCCUUGACUCUGGGAUAAGCGUUGGAAACGACGUCUAAUACCGGAUACGAGCUGGGACCGCAUGGUCACUAGCUGGAAAGAAUUUCGGUCAAGGAUGGACUCGCGGCCUAUCAGUUAGUUGGUGAGGUAACGGCUCACCAAGACGACGACGGGUAGCCGGCCUGAGAGGGUGACCGGCCACACUGGGACUGAGACACGGCCCAGACUCCUACGGGAGGCAGCAGUGGGGCACAAUGGGCGAAAGCCUGAUGCAGCAACGCCGCGUGAGGGACGACGGCCUUCGGGUUGUAAACCUCUUUUAGCAGGGAAGAAGCGAAAGUGACGGUACCUGCAGAAAAAGCACCCGGCUAACUACGUGCCAGCAGCCCGCGGUAAUACGUAGGGUGCAAGCCGUUGUCCGGAAUUAUUGGGCGUAAAGAGCU